This 497-nucleotide ribosomal RNA is filed under the name uncultured bacterium. Its description in RNAcentral is "partial 16S ribosomal RNA". It matches the Rfam family "Bacterial small subunit ribosomal RNA", at positions 28 to 507 of the family's 1533-position model. The record is from RNAcentral.
GAUGAACGCUGGCGGCGUGCCUAAUACAUGCAAGUCGAGCGAACGGACGAGAAGCUUGCUUCUCUGAUGUUAGCGGCGGACGGGUGAGUAACACGUGGAUAACCUACCUAUAAGACUGGGAUAACUUCGGGAAACCGGAGCUAAUACCGGAUGAUAUUUUGAACCGCAUGGUUCAAAAGUGAAAGACGGUCUUGCUGUCACUUAUAGAUGUAUCCGCGCUGCAUUAGCUAGUUGGUAAGGUAACGGCUUACCAAGGCAACGAUGCAUAGCCGACCUGAGAGGGUGAUCGGCCACACUGGAACUGAGACACGGUCCAGACUCCUACGGGAGGCAGCAGUAGGGAAUCUUCCGCAAUGGGCGAAAGCCUGACGGAGCAACGCCGCGUGAGUGAUGAAGGUCUUCGGAUCGUAAAACUCUGUUAUUAGGGAAGAAAAUAUGUGUAAGUAACUGUGCACAUCUUGACGGUACCUAAUCAGAAAGCCACGGCUAACUACGUG